GCACGCCCAUACCCACAUAAAGGUACGCGCUCUCGUACACUCAGCUGAGCGCAAUGCUGAGCGGCAUCGCCGGCAUCCGUCGGUGCGCGGCACGUGGGGCAGGCGGUGCUGCUGCUGCCCGUACCUCUGGUGCGGCUGCGUCCGCAUCCCCCAAAGUCCCUUCUUUGCUCUGAUUGCUCGCCCGCCUCGGGCGCUGGUGGCGGGAGCGCGCAUUUCAUGCUGUGGCGCCCCACGCGCCCGGGCGCCUCACCGGCAAGAUGUCGGAGACGGCGCACCGGGUGAGGGCCCUGCGGGCUGGCAGGAAGGGCCGCGCCGGUGUGCUCCGUCGUGGCGACGAGCCUCGAGGACGAUGCCGCCCGCGCCGCGGCCGUGGUGCAGUCCGGCAUGCACACGAUGGGCACCGUCGCCAGGGUGGAGCGCAUUGCGGCGCGGGAGCCGCCGAGUAGGAUGUUGCACCGCGCGAGGCUGCUGGGGCUAGUAAGGCCGCUGCGCUCCUGCGCGCACGACCCGCGCGACGUCGAGGCCAUCGCGCUGAUCCUGUUUGGCCGCGGCUGGCGGGCGGAGCGGCUGUGACUGCCGGGGAGGGCGGGGGCCCCUCGCCGUGUGUGUUUGCGUCGAAGCUCGAGCAGGACGGCAUUAGCGAGAGGGCGCAGCGGAUGAAGGAGGGGAGUCUUCGCCGUGCCCCGGCCAAGUACAAGGGCACCAUGAGCUGCAUGUUCGGCGUGUCUGCGGUCCGUGACGUCUUCACGAUGAACCGCCGCGCCCACCGGCGGCAGCAGCGGGGCCAUCAGCUCAAGACAGCCAUCGAGACCCCCUCCAAGGCCGUACGGUGAUCCCAGGGCGAGGGUGUGCUGGCGACGGCCGACGAUGCUCUCGCCGUGAAGCGCAAGGAUGAGGAGGCGGCGGUGCGCACGGAGGCUGCGCGGGGGCAGUAGCUCGCGGCGGGUGUACAAGGGCGCGGUCGCGCUGGCGUGCGACGGUCGUCUGUGCGAUCUCGCCCGGGAGGUGGCCAUGGAGCCGCUGACCGUGGCAGGCGCUGGGCUGCCGCGCCGCGACGCCUGCACGAGUCCCGUGCUCGACCGCGAGCGCAGGCACUCGCCUACGCGCAGCACACUUUGUGGGCCCCGUCAGCCCCAGCCGCAUCAUCGACAUCAUCGGAACGAGCAGCAGCGAUUUGGACGAGCUGUUUGCCGCCGUGCACCAAGGCCGCGGCGGGCGGCGCUGUGGAGGGCACUGCGCCGCACGGUCCCGUAAAGGAUGUGUGGCUGCUGCGCACGAGGCUUUUCCGCUCCGCUGCGCCUUUCCCCGGUGCUGCCGGCUGUAGAUGCGAGGUGAGGUGAGGUGGUGAUGGAGGAGGGCGGGGCAGGGAUCUGUGCGAGCGCGUGAGUGCGGGGGUGGAGGGGCACACUCACAUGCUCCGACUCGCAUCUGCUGCUCUUCGUCGUGCCGCCUUUCUGUGUGGUGCCGAGCGGCUGCGGUGCCGUCUCUGUGCGCCCUCGCCCCGUGCCUAUCCGCCGCCUCCAUCUCUGCUGUCUGCAACGAGCGGGACGGGCGGUGACGGCGCGGCGCCGGUGGUGUCGGUGGAUUGUCGCAGCGGUGGGCGCGGUGGUGCUGCGUGCCAGGGCCGCGACGGAGGAGGUGUGUGUGUGUGUGUGUGUGUGUGUGUGUAUGUGUGUGUGUGUGUGUGUGUCGCUGUCUUUCCUCGCGCUGUUGUCGUGG
This 1719-nucleotide unclassified non-coding RNA is filed under the name Leishmania donovani. RNAcentral describes it as "gene:unknown". The record is from RNAcentral. Lineage: Eukaryota; Euglenozoa; Kinetoplastea; Trypanosomatida; Trypanosomatidae.